Chenopodium quinoa (quinoa) is the source of this 1005-nucleotide long non-coding RNA. RefSeq lists it as uncharacterized. Lineage: Eukaryota; Viridiplantae; Streptophyta; Magnoliopsida; Caryophyllales; Amaranthaceae. The transcript is spliced from 3 exons. The record is from RefSeq and is a predicted model, not a curated record.
GACCCUCACCUUUUAUGUUUCCACUCUUUGAUACUUCAAAGGAAAAUGGUGUAACUUGCCCUUCAUCAUCCGUGCUUGAGAAGAACUUAGACAUCAGUCAUUUUAAACAAGCAUUUUUGGAAGAAGAAGAUGAACUUACUGAUAAUGAUGUGGAGGUUGAAGAAUUUGAGGGACAUGUAAAUGAAGAUACUAUGGAUUUCGAUGAAGUUUAAACGGGAAAUCUUAUUCAGGUUAACAGUAAUGGAACUGGUUUAAAUCUUGGGAACUUUGAAUUUCAGCUGGAUGGGAAUAGGAAUCAUCUAAAAAUUCAAACUGAUUCCCAGCAUUCUGUGGUGAAAAAACAUAGGAGCACUAAUGACAUCCAUAGUGCGGAAGAAAUGUGGGCUAAUGUUUGCAAAGGCACUAAGAUACUUGUGAAAGUUGUAAAAGAAGGGUUGGGUAAAAAAAGGUCCGACAUUGCUGCUUAUCCGAAGCUUAGGAGCGGAUUCUGGGUGAGAACUGCAAAAGAUACAUUUUAAACCCAAGGUAUUGAUCACCCGGUGCAAGAGUAUUGGAGUAUCAAAGAACAUUUCUGGGGUUGAACGCACACGCUUGAAAGUCAUAGCAAAAUCUUUGCAGCACCCUGGUUUUGUUGUGACCAUCCGAACUGUUGCUGCUGGUCAUUCUUUGCGAAAGGACUUGGAAGGGUUGCUUGCAACAUGGAGAAAUAUUGUUGAACAUGCAAAAUCUGCAACACUUGCAGCAGAUGAAGGUGUUGAAGGUGUUGUACCUGUUAUUUUGCACCAAGCAAUGGGGCAGACACUAUCUGUUGUCCAGGAUUAUUUUAAUGAGAAGGUUAAGAGAAUGGUAGUAGACUCCCCAAGGACAUACCAUGAGGUAUGAAACUCACUCUUCGAAUUUAAUUUAGUUGCCCCUUUACAUAUGUUUUAGUUGUUGUGGUUAUAUUACACCCCAGUGGGCCCAAUCCAAAGGUGUAGGUGGACAAGCUCAAAGUUUAAAAUUUGA